RNAcentral lists this unclassified non-coding RNA (274 nucleotides) under Glomeraceae sp. RNAcentral describes it as "partial contains 5.8S ribosomal RNA and internal transcribed spacer 2". The stretch from base 1 to 71 matches the Rfam family "5.8S ribosomal RNA", at positions 84 to 154 of the family's 154-position model. Lineage: Eukaryota; Fungi; Glomeromycota; Glomeromycetes; Glomerales; Glomeraceae. The record is from RNAcentral.
GUGAAUCAUCGAAUUUUUGAACGCAAAUUGCACUUUCUGGUUUUCCGGAAAAUAUUCCUGUUUGAGGGUCAGUUAUAUAAAAAUCCGUGUCGUUUCUUCUUUUCGUGGUGACGCGUCGGAAUUGAGUUGUCUUACCUUCGGUUAAGUGACUUAUAAUUUUUCAUUAUUUUCGUACUUAUUUAAAUUUCUUACUUACUUUUGUGAUAUCGAGUACUUUAUUAUGUUCUUUCAUCCUCAUGAUUUACACCUAUAAUUUUUCAUUAUAUGUCCUCAA